UAAUGCACUUUAUAUGCAGCUUUACUGUCAGAUAUAAUGUGUGCCAUGCACUCCAGAUGUUGGUGGAGUUUGUUUCAGUGUGUGUUGACCAGAGAAGAAAGUUAGCAUAGUAAAUAUUAGCUUUAAUGUUAGCGAUGCUAACCGAGUUAGCUGCUCAGUUGUUUCAUGUAAACAGCUGAAGUGUGUUGUGUUCCUGUAAUGUGGUUCAUUAAGUUCAUAAAACUGUGGCUGGUUGACAUUAAUGUAACGUUAAGGAAACUUAAAUGUGAUUAAAACAGUAACGUUAAUGUUCUAGUUGUCAGUAAUCAGCUUUAAUUUGACACUAAAACAGACUCUGAUAGUUUUAAAUGACAUCAGUUUCAUUAAUUUGUUGAAAAUGGUCUCAUUUGUUGUUGUGAUGUUGCUGCUGAUUCAUUAAAACCAGAUGAUCCGUGUUGAAGAUACGUUUAGUUCUAGUAUCAGAAGUACAAGAAGGAAAAUGGAAGUUUAGUUCUUCUACAUCAAACAUUUCAGGAGUAAAAUAACUAAAUGAGUCUUUAUGCCUCAAACUUUAUUUUGCAAUAAAGAAAUAAUGAAAUAAUCACAGAUAAUAAAAAUAUAAAUAGCAGAGAAAACAUGAGAAUAAUUUCCUGAAAAAUCUGUGAAGGAAAAGCAGCUUUUUAUCCUGAAAUAUCAGAAUCAGCUCCAACAUCUGCAUCUGACAGCAUCAAGUCAACCAGAAAGAAAAGAAAAAAGAGAAUGACUUCUUUCUGAUCACAUCUGUUCCACUGCUCACAGUCUGCUGCUGCUCACAUUCUUCACAUUUAUAGUCCACUUUUAAAAGUUCAGCAGACAGGUGCUCUGCUUUGGAGUGUGACGAUGUCGUCGGUGAUGUGGAGAGUGAAGUUUCCGUUUCAUCCACAGCGUGCUUUAGGGCAGCCAGGUUGGACUUGAUGUUUGAAAUACUGACCGACAGCUCAGAUUUAACUGUCUGUAGUUCCGUUUUGAUGGGUGUUAAACUUUCACUCAAAGCCGCCAGGAGCUGGGUCUUUAAAAUAACCGCCGUCUCGUUACAGAGUGAAAGUAGCAGUUCCUCCUUAAGGUCAGAGAUUGCAGCAUCUGAGGGCCUCUUCAAAAGAAGACGUAGUUGAUGAAGGCGUUCUGGAGCAGGACCAGAAAGACCACGACCAAGCAGCCUUGAGAUCUUAGGCAGCGUCUCCCUCAGGUCCCUCUCUAUCUCCCUACACAUCCACCAACCACUGGAACACAUCUCCAAAGUUCUGCCAGGGCCAGCUCAGCUUCCCCUCAGAAGAAGUUCCACCACCUGCCAGAUGAAGGAGCCUUUUGAGAGGCAGCUGGCAUCGUGAUUGGACUGUACUUUGGUCUGUUCCAAUCCAGCUUCAGCUCCAGAGACGGCAGGCGGGACGAGUCAACGGAGGCCUGGUGGACGAAGGCAUGCAGCUGAGUACAAUCCAGAAAACAACAGAGGAGGAGUGCAGGGCCAGAACAAACAGAGUAGCAUCGUAUGUCUCUUAGAAAACAUCAUAGUAUAGCUUUUGGUAUGAAAAAACACCAUCAUUUACAUCAUAGAUUGUACAAAUAAGUCAAAGGAAAGAGACAUACAUUGUAGAAUUGUAGUAAUUGUGGGCUGACUGAUUUACUGAUUAUCAGUAUUUUAUUUUCUACUGAUUUACGGUAAUAAAUACAUUUAAAAAUGGCGCUA
Amphiprion ocellaris (clown anemonefish) is the source of this 1702-nucleotide long non-coding RNA. RefSeq lists it as uncharacterized. NCBI's taxonomy places the organism in Eukaryota, Metazoa, Chordata, Actinopteri, Pomacentridae. The transcript has 2 exons. The record is from RefSeq and is a predicted model, not a curated record.